Molecule: ribosomal RNA, 406 nt
Filed under: uncultured bacterium
Lineage: Bacteria
Description: partial 16S ribosomal RNA
Rfam family: Bacterial small subunit ribosomal RNA
Source: RNAcentral
AUUGAACGCUGGCGGCAGGCCUAACACAUGCAAGUCUAACGAGUGGCGGACGGGUGAGUAAUUUCUGGGAAACUGCCCGCUGUCUGUGGAUCACUACUGGAAACGGUAGCUAAUACCGCCUACCAUCGGAUGUGCCCACAUGUGCUUAGCUAGUAGGUGGUGUAACGGCUCCCCUAGGCGACUAUCCCUAGCUGGUCUGAGAGGAUGACCAGCCAAACUGGAACUGAGACACGGUCCAGACUUCUACGGGAGGCAGCAGUGGGGAAUAUUGAACAAUGGGCGAAAGCCUGAUGCAGCCAUGCCGCGUGUAGGAAGAAGGCCUUAGGGUUGUAAAGUACUUUCAGCGAGGAGGCGUUACUCGCAGAAGAAGCACCGGCUAACUCCGUGCCAGCAGCCGCGGUAAUUC